UGCUCUCGAGUGCCUUCAAAAAAGCCC
Molecule: non-coding RNA, 27 nt
Filed under: Mus musculus (house mouse)
Lineage: Eukaryota; Metazoa; Chordata; Mammalia; Rodentia; Muridae
Source: RNAcentral